This 170-nucleotide ribosomal RNA is filed under the name Upeneus japonicus (Bensasi goatfish). Its description in RNAcentral is "partial 12S ribosomal RNA". The record is from RNAcentral. Lineage: Eukaryota; Metazoa; Chordata; Actinopteri; Syngnathiformes; Mullidae.
CACCGCGGUUAUACGAGAGGCCCAAGUUGAUAAGCAUCGGCGUAAAGGGUGGUUAGGGAAAACUAUACAAUAAAGCCGAACAUCUUCAAAACUGUUAUACGCCCUCGAAGAUUUGAAGCCCCACCACGAAAGUGGCUUUAUAUAACCCCGAACCCACGAGAGCCAGGAAA